RNAcentral lists this ribosomal RNA (657 nucleotides) under Debaryomyces hansenii. RNAcentral describes it as "eukaryotic LSU rRNA". The stretch from base 258 to 411 matches the Rfam family "5.8S ribosomal RNA". The record is from RNAcentral. Lineage: Eukaryota; Fungi; Ascomycota; Pichiomycetes; Serinales; Debaryomycetaceae.
UGUAUAUUAAAAAAUCGUAACAAGGUUUCCGUAGGUGAACCUGCGGAAGGAUCAUUACAGUAUUCUUUUUGCCAGCGCUUAAUUGCGCGGCGAAAAAACCUUACACACAGUGUUUUUUGUUAUUACAAGAACUCUUGCUUUGGUCUGGACUAGAAAUAGUUUGGGCCAGAGGUUUACUAAACUAAACUUCAAUAUUUAUAUUGAAUUGUUAUUUAUUUUAAUUGUCAAUUUGUUGAUUAAAUUCAAAAAAUCUUCAAAACUUUCAACAACGGAUCUCUUGGUUCUCGCAUCGAUGAAGAACGCAGCGAAAUGCGAUAAGUAAUAUGAAUUGCAGAUUUUCGUGAAUCAUCGAAUCUUUGAACGCACAUUGCGCCCUUUGGUAUUCCAAAGGGCAUGCCUGUUUGAGCGUCAUUUCUCUCUCAAACCUUCGGGUUUGGUAUUGAGUGAUACUCUUAGUCGAACUAGGCGUUUGCUUGAAAUGUAUUGGCAUGAGUGGUACUGGAUAGUGCUAUAUGACUUUCAAUGUAUUAGGUUUAUCCAACUCGUUGAAUAGUUUAAUGGUAUAUUUCUCGGUAUUCUAGGCUCGGCCUUACAAUAUAACAAACAAGUUUGACCUCAAAUCAGGUAGGACUACCCGCUGAACUUAAGCAUAUCAUA